Long non-coding RNA from Tympanuchus pallidicinctus (lesser prairie-chicken), 390 nucleotides. RefSeq lists it as uncharacterized. The record is from RefSeq and is a predicted model, not a curated record. The transcript has 3 exons. NCBI's taxonomy places the organism in Eukaryota, Metazoa, Chordata, Aves, Galliformes, Phasianidae.
UCUGGGUGAAGAACCAGAAUCUGGGUGAAGAAUCAGGAUCUGAGUGAAGAAUGGGGUCAGGAGCUGCGAUCUGGGUGAAGAUCCAGGUGAGGAACUGGGAUCUGGGUGCAGGAUGGGGUCAGGAGCUGGGAUCUGGGUGAAGAUCCAGGUGAGGAACUGGGAUCUGGGUGCAGGAUGGGGUCAGGAGCUGGGAUCUGGGUGAAGAUCCAGGUGAGGAACUGGGAUCUGGGUGCAGGAUGGGGUCAGGAGCUGGGAUCUGGGUGAAGAUCCAGGUGAGGAACUGGGAUCUGAGUGCAGGAUGGGGUCAGGAGCUGGGAUCUGGGUGAAGAUCCAGGUGAGGAACUGGGAUAUGAGUGCAGGAUGGGGUCAGGAACCAAUGACUGGGUGAGG